AAUCACACACGCACACGCGCGCGCGCAGCACUCACCGACCACUCUGCGGGGACGCAGGGAGCCGCAGGCCGAAGGAGGGCGGCCGCAGUCAAGCCCGCCCCUCCGCCCCCGCGCGGCCUGUCACGGCGGCCCGGGGUCCCGGAGCCUGCCCGGGGGCCGGAGGGGCGUGCGAGAGCCGGGCGCGGGCCGGGGGCCAGGCCCGUCCCUCCCUCACAUGGAGCCCGUGCCGCCCCUCGGUGCUUCUCGCCACAGCUGCCCGGAGGCCUGCGGGGAGCCGGGCAGGAAAGGAGGAAGCCCAGGGCCGGCGCCGCCAGGGGCAGGAGAAGAGGCGGGAGCAGCGACUCCGCGGCCGGGGACGCGGGAUGUCCGGGUCGUCGUCCUCGUCUUCUCCGCCGCUGGCCGCCCGACCCUCGAACGCCGAACCCCGCGGUCGCACCGCCCUCGUCAAGCUCCGCAGCCGAGGGUAGCCCGGCCGCCACUACACACGGACCCGUGACGUCUGGCGUAGCGCGGCGCACGUCAAGGCCGCUUGCUCGUGAACGCGCGGCCCUUCUCUCACUGGGAACGGAACCCGCCCCGGCCGCGCGCCCGGCUAGACAGAGCGUGUCGGCGCCUGCGCAGUGGCCCGCUCUGACCAAGCAAGGCCGGGCCCCGCCCACCGGGUAGUUUGGGAGUUCUCCGGCCGGGCCUGGCCUCAGCGUCGGCCCCGCCCCUGGCUUCGGGCGCCCUGCGCUUUGCUGCAUGCGUGUCGUAAAACAGUCUGGGUUUUGUCGCGUCCACGAGUCACUCAGGUCUCGGCUGGUAGCGCUAGAGAAGGAACUCUUACGUGGACUGCAGGCUGAACCCAAGGGCGGCGAGACUGGAGAGGCUGCGACCGACAAAACCAAGGCAAGUUAGUUCAAGGUGAAGAACCAUUUGCCUCCUAAUUGGUAUACCAAGUUUCAGAGUUCUUUCCUGAAAGACUUCAGAAAUGACCCUGGGCUUGGACUGGGACCACAUUUCCAUUCAAGCAUUCCAAAGAAGACAAAUGGGAAUGGAACCUGGUGGACUCAGAAGUUAGAAGCUGCCCUAACUGAGGGGCCCCAGUGGGUCAAGGGAGCUGCCAUUGUUGGACAGUGACUGGAGGUGGUGGUGGUAUGAAGUAUCAAAAUAUCUGAAUCCCUUUCCAGGAGUUUUUAUUACACUGUCAUUAGAGGGGUAUCAAUGACAGUAUAAAGAAUGCACACCUCAAAAAUAAACCUAAAUGGAAAACCUUGCCCCAUCUUAAAUCUUGUUUGUGUUAAAAGUAGAGGACUUUACUCUUACAUACACAUAAAAUCUCAAAAAGAUCUUUAAGAUACCUCUUUUUUAUUUUGUGGUACAAUGAUAGAACCCAGAGCCCACUCACAUGCUACAUAGGCACUCUACCACUAGGCUACACCGCCAGCCAGAUAGCAUUUGUGUGUGUGUGUGUGUGUGUGUGUGUGUGUGUGGUGGUGGUGGUAUGGGAGGUUGUGGAGAUUGGUAAGUCCUUAAGUGGGCUUGAACUUGCAGUCCUCCUCCCUCAGUCUCCCAGAGUGCUGGGAUCACAGGUGUACAUCACUGCACAGCUCAGGUUAGCAUUCAGAUCUUACAUUUUUCCCUUACUCUCCACGGUUCCUAGCCUAACCACAUAGGCAUUUUAUAAAUAUGUAUAUGUUUACUAAGUAAUCUAGAGAUUUCUCCUCAUACCUCUGCUGACUCCUCUACUCCCUUCUGUCACCUACACCUGGAGACUUCAUUCACUUCUGUGUUCUUAGGAAGACCUUAACUAAUUAGAGUAGCUGUUGUUUUUCUCUCUUUUUUUAUUUCAUUAAUUUUUUUCAUGCUUAUAUAUUAAAUCUCUGGCAUCCUUGGUUAUUUUAGUGUGUAUGAUUCCAAAUUAAUGGUCUUGGAUUUUUUUUCCUUGAUGAAACCUUCAGUGUUUUUGAGGGGGAGGCUCUAGCCUUGCUAACUGUGCCUUGGAUUGCUAUGAUGCAGCAACAUAAUCCCAUCUACCAGGAACUCGGAAUCUUAAAAAUUGCCAAGAUAGUACAGAGAGUUCCCAUAUGCUCUCACAUCCAAACCUAAUAACCUAAAGGAUAUCACUUUGGUGACACAUGUGGAGGAAGGCAGGAGUCCAGAAGAACCACACAUCCUACCAACAAUAACGCUGGCCCUCAGUGCUGUGUGAUCCAUGCAGAAGGCCUUGUGUGCCCCGCACAAAGAAAACAAUGACCAGACUACCAAAUCCUAGCCAGCUCUGCUCCUGCAUUCUCCUCAGCACAGAGUGGCAGAAGUGACAGCAAAAAGAUUGACCUGAUUGAAAUAAGACCCACACCUAGAAGAGUUUCACUCUAGGACUGAAGUGUUACUGUACCACAGGGACUGGGUGAGAGACAUCCAGGGGAGGCAGCUUAGGAUAAGAGCUAAAGAGGGGUCUCUGGCAUCACCUGGUAGGCUUGGGCUGAGCCCAGGAGGAUCAUGGGACCUGUAUACUGUGGUGGGAGUUCAGGUUUGAUAGGUAUAAUCUUCAGAAGUGGUGGUCCUGAGGAGAUGACAUUUGGUCCAGGUGUACACUUGAGCCCUUGCACCACACCUAUAUCCAGCAGAAAUUAGUGGUCUGAAUUACUAUAGUUCAAUAUCUGGGUGGCCUAAGUGUCUUCACUAAAAUCAUAGACGUCUGCUCUGGUUAAGGGUAGUUGAAGACUUCUGGGAAGAUGGUGGAGUGGUGAACAGAGAAACAGUCUCUCCAAGAUUUGGUGUCCAGAUGCUGGAAUAUAUUACCAUGAGGAAGACAAGGAGGGAAGUGGGUGCCUGGGACUCAGCAAGGAUCUGAAGGGAGAAUUGCAGCCCAUAGGAAGAGUGAAGAGAGAUACUUAAACAAAAAAAGAAGGAGAUGGCAAACAGUGCUUCCUCCCUGAGCCCUGACUCACUGCAUGGGAAGGGUGGCUUAAACUUGCAUACACACAGUGACUACUGGCAACCCCAGAGGCCUCCAUGGAGAAAUGCACCAGUGGAAUGUAGCAGUGGAUGCAGCAGACUGCAGUGGCUGGAGAGUUAUUCGGGUUCAGAUGUCCCCCAAGAGAGGGUGAUUGACCAGUCACUGUCUUGGAGGGGCCACAUGCAGAAGAUUGAAUCUAGAUCCAUAUAUCUCACUAUGUACUAAACUGAAAUCAAAAUGGGUCAAAGACCUAAAUAUUAAAACAGAAACAAUCUUCUGGAAAAUAAAAUAGGUACAACUCUUGAAGACAUAGGCAUAGGCAAGGACUUUUGAACAGAUCCCCAGUGGCACAAGAAAUAAUACUGAGAAUCAACAAAUGGGGUCAUAUCAAAUUAAAAAGCUCCAGAGCAAAGGAAACCACCAAAAGAGUGAGGAGACAACCUACAGAAUGGGAAAAAUUAUUUGCCGGCUAUUCCUCAGACAAAAGACUAACAUUAUAAUAUAUAAACUCAAAAGGGCUGGGGAUUUAGCUCAGUGAUUCCACCACCUGCCUUGCAGGUGCAAGGUCCCAAGUUUGAUCUCCGGUACCAAAAAAAAAAGAACUCAAAAGUAUUAGACUCCCAAAAUUAAAGACCCAAUCAAAAGGGCAAAUGAAAUGAAUAGACACUAUGUAGAAGAAGGACAAGCAACCAAUAAGUAGAUUUUAAAAUGUUCAGUGUCUCUGACCAUUAGUGAAAUGCAAAUUGAAACUACACUGAGGUACCAUCUUACCCCAGAAAGAAUGGCUAUCAUCAAAAAAGUCAUAGCAAAUGCUGGUGAGGAUAUGGGAAAAAGGGAAUUCUACAUUGUUGGUGGGAAUAUAAACUAAUAUAAUCAGUAUGGAAAUCAGUGUGAAGAUUUCUCAGCUAUCCCCUUUAUAAGUAUCUUCCCAAAAGAUUUUAAAUUGUCAUAGGGAUACAUGCAUACCCAUGAUUGUAGCAGCACAGUUUAUAAUAGCUAAUUUCCGAAACAGGGUAUAGGUCCAUGAACAGAUGAAUGGAUAAGGAAAAUGUAUUUAUAUACCAUGAAGUACUACUGUGCCAUAAAGAAAGAUAAAUUUCAGGAAUUCAUAGGUAAAUGGAUGCAACUAGAGAACCUAAUGUUAAGUGAAAUAAAGUCAGACAAAGCAGUUUAAAUAUCACAUAGCCUCUCAUAUGAGAAACAGUAUAUGCAAAUGACAAAAUGGAAGAUAAAUAGGAUAUGGGGAGAGGUUCAGUGGUUCCCCAAAUUACCUAUCCCAUUGUUUCAAAAAUAUUUUAGGGCUGAGGAUUUAGCUCAGUGGCACUGUAUCUGCCUCACAAGCGCAAGGUCCUGAGUUUGAUUCCCGGUACCAAAAAAAAAUUUUUAAUGUAUAUGCAAAUUUGUUUCAUUUAUACUAGUAGUUUCUCUUCAUUUGUUGAAAAGAAAAUUUUGUACUAUCAGUUUGCUGCUUUUGUAAGAAUCUUUUGUAGAUGUCUUGUCCGCUGAGUAACUACUUUGAAGAUAAAUGCUACAUAGUGUAUUAACUAUUGCUAUUCUGUUACUUUGUUUUAUCAUAAAAGAAGAAUUUAUCAAUGAGUUAAAAAAUGAGUGGGCACCUGUAUAGUUAGUCCUCAAUAUCUGCACAUUCUGUAUUUACAAAUUCAAUCCUGUGGACUGAAAGUACUUUAUAAAAUAUAGUUCACCUGAGCUGAAUGUGUACAGGUUUCAUUUCUUCUCAUUAUACUGUGGACAAUACAGUGUAACAACUCUUUACAUAACAUUUGCAUUGCAAUAGGUAUUGUAAUUGAUUCAGUGAUGUUGCCUUGAUAUUGGUAAAUUUUGCUUCCCUCAUUUUUCUUCACCGUUGGUUGUUAAUUUUAUUAGUUUGUUCAGAAAAUAAAUUUUUAGUUUUCUUGAUAUUUCCAUUAUACAAAUUUCUUUGCACUGAUUUGUGCUCGUUGGUUUACAGUCUUUACUUGUUUAGUUUUCACUUUGUUUCAGAUUAGUUGUUUGAAUCAUUCAUUUUUAAUCUUUUUGUC
This 4980-nucleotide long non-coding RNA is filed under the name Heterocephalus glaber (naked mole-rat). RNAcentral describes it as "lncRNA (ENSHGLG00100050107.1)". Lineage: Eukaryota; Metazoa; Chordata; Mammalia; Rodentia; Bathyergidae. The record is from RNAcentral.